This 323-nucleotide small nuclear RNA is filed under the name Myotis davidii. RNAcentral's name for it is "7SK RNA". It matches the Rfam family "7SK RNA". Rfam says of the family: 7SK was discovered as an abundant small nuclear RNA in the mid-70s but a possible function has only recently been suggested. Two independent studies have found that 7SK RNA binds the CDK9/cyclin T complex (known as elongation factor P-TEFb). P-TEFb activates transcription by phosphorylating the C-terminal domain of RNA polymerase II. Lineage: Eukaryota; Metazoa; Chordata; Mammalia; Chiroptera; Vespertilionidae. The record is from Rfam by way of RNAcentral.
GGAUGUGAGGGCGACCUGGCUGCGACAUCUGUCACCCCUUUGAUUGCCAAGGUUGAUUCGGCUGAUCCGGCUGGCUAGGCGGGUGUCCCCCUCCUCCCUCACUGAUCCAUGUGCGUCCCUCCCGAAGCUGCACGCUCUCGGUCGAAGAGGACGACCUUCACCCCACCCGCCUCGCCCCGCGAGGAGAGGACCGGUCUUCGGUCAAGGGUAUACGAGUAGCUGCGCUCCCCUACUAGAACCUCCAAACAAGCUCUCAAAAUUCUAACAUCAAAAUUAGCUUAUUAACUCUUCUAAUUCCAAUUAUAUAUUGCUUGCAAACUUCU